AUUGAACGCUGGCGGCAUGCCUUACACAUGCAAGUCGAACGGCAGCACGGGAGCAAUCCUGGUGGCGAGUGGCGAACGGGUGAGUAAUAUAUCGGAACGUGCCCAGUCGUGGGGAUAACGUAGCGAAAGCUACGCUAAUACCGCAUACGAUCUAUGGAUGAAAGCGGGGGAUCGCAAGACCUCGCGCGAUUGGAGCGGCCGAUAUCAGAUUAGGUAGUUGGUGAGGUAAAGGCUCACCAAGCCGACGAUCUGUAGCUGGUCUGAGAGGACGACCAGCCACACUGGGACUGAGACACGGCCCAGACUCCUACGGGAGGCAGCAGUGGGGAAUUUUGGACAAUGGGCGCAAGCCUGAUCCAGCAAUGCCGCGUGCAGGAUGAAGGCCUC
RNAcentral lists this ribosomal RNA (387 nucleotides) under uncultured bacterium. RNAcentral's name for it is "bacterial SSU rRNA". It matches the Rfam family "Bacterial small subunit ribosomal RNA", at positions 30 to 418 of the family's 1533-position model. The record is from RNAcentral.